Molecule: Y RNA, 104 nt
Filed under: Prolemur simus (greater bamboo lemur)
Lineage: Eukaryota; Metazoa; Chordata; Mammalia; Primates; Lemuridae
Description: Y RNA (ENSPSMG00000015244.1)
Rfam family: Y RNA
About the family: Y RNAs are components of the Ro ribonucleoprotein particle (Ro RNP), in association with Ro60 and La proteins. The Y RNAs and Ro60 and La proteins are well conserved, but the function of the Ro RNP is not known.
Source: Rfam by way of RNAcentral
GGCUGGUCAGAAGACAGAGUUAUCUCACUGUUCAGCCAGUUACAGACGGAACUUCUGGUUCUACGACCUUACCCCUUCUCACUUCUGCACUUGACUAGUCUCAA